RNAcentral lists this long non-coding RNA (1047 nucleotides) under Vitis vinifera (wine grape). RNAcentral describes it as "long non-coding RNA (VVIN_LNC001308)". The record is from RNAcentral. Lineage: Eukaryota; Viridiplantae; Streptophyta; Magnoliopsida; Vitales; Vitaceae.
UUUCCAUGCAUCCAAACAACCAAAAGUCUCUCUUCCCCAGUGGGUAUCACAGAUUGGUGAAGUGCAGCCUGAUAUAUUCCAUACAGAUCGGUUGGGGCAGCAUUACAAGGAGUGCUUAUCUCUGGCUGUUGAUGAUCUUCCUGUUCUAGAUGGAAAGACACCAAUCCAAGUUUACCAUGACUUCUGUGAGAGUUUCAAGACUUCGUUCUCACAUUUCAUGGGCUCAACAAUCACAGUAAGAAUCUGGAUCCCACAACUCUAUUGUCAUAUAUUCCUGGUAUCUUAUUUGGGGUAAUGACACUUAAAGUGGAUUCUGGUAUUUUCUAUUUUGCAGGGCAUCUCAAUGGGUCUAGGCCCAGAUGGUGAGCUUCGAUAUCCUUCUCAUCACAGGGUAAGCAAAAGGGGUAAAGUCCCUGGGGUUGGAGAAUUUCAGUGUUAUGACAAAAACAUGCUCAGCCUUCUCAAGCAACAUGCUGAAGCAACUGGAAAUCCGUAUUGGGGUCUCGGUGGUCCUCAUGAUGCCCCCCAGUAUGAUGGGAUGCCAAACUCGAACAACUUCUUCAGGGAGCAUGGCGGAUCAUGGGAGACUCCAUAUGGUGAUUUCUUCCUUUCUUGGUACUCAAACCAGCUAAUAUCUCAUGGAAGUAGCCUCCUUUCCCUUGCUUCUACAGUUUUCUGCAACUCUCCCGUUGCAAUUUCUGGCAAGGUCCCAGUCGUUCAUUCAUGGUACAAAACCCGCUCGCACCCUUCUGAGCUAACAGCUGGCUUCUACAACACAGUUGACAAGGACGGCUAUGAAAGGAUUGCUGAAAUUUUUGCAAAAAAUUCAUGCAAAAUGAUCUUACCGGGAAUGGACCUGUCAGACGAUCACCAGCCGCAGGAGUCCCUCUCUAGCCCUGAAUUAUUACUCGCACAAAUCAAGUCUGCUUGCAGAAAGAGAGGAGUUCAGAUUUCUGGGCAAAACUCGUCUGUUUCAGGAGCACCUGGUGGUUUCGAACAGGUAAAGAAGAAUUUGCUGGGCGAGGAUGGAGUUGUGGACUUGUUCAC